RNAcentral lists this ribosomal RNA (1500 nucleotides) under metagenome. RNAcentral describes it as "bacterial SSU rRNA". It matches the Rfam family "Bacterial small subunit ribosomal RNA". The record is from RNAcentral.
AGAGCUUGAUCAUGGCUCAGAUUGAACGCUGGCGGCAGGCCUAACACAUGCAAGUCGAACGGUAACAGGAAGCAGCUUGCUGCUUCGCUGACGAGUGGCGGACGGGUGAGUAAUGUCUGGGAAGCUGCCUGAUGGAGGGGGAUAACUACUGGAAACGGUAGCUAAUACCGCAUAAUGUCGCAAGACCAAAGAGGGGGACCUUCGGGCCUCUUGCCAUCGGAUGUGCCCAGAUGGGAUUAGCUUGUUGGUGGGGUAACGGCUCACCAAGGCGACGAUCCCUAGCUGGUCUGAGAGGAUGACCAGCCACACUGGAACUGAGACACGGUCCAGACUCCUACGGGAGGCAGCAGUGGGGAAUAUUGCACAAUGGGCGCAAGCCUGAUGCAGCCAUGCCGCGUGUAUGAAGAAGGCCUUCGGGUUGUAAAGUACUUUCAGCGGGGAGGAAGGGAGUAAAGUUAAUACCUUUGCUCAUUGACGUUACCCGCAGAAGAAGCACCGGCUAACUCCGUGCCAGCAGCCGCGGUAAUACGGAGGGUGCAAGCGUUAAUCGGAAUUACUGGGCGUAAAGCGCACGCAGGCGGUUUGUUAAGUCAGAUGUGAAAUCCCCGGGCUCAACCUGGGAACUGCAUCUGAUACUGGCAAGCUUGAGUCUCGUAGAGGGGGGUAGAAUUCCAGGUGUAGCGGUGAAAUGCGUAGAGAUCUGGAGGAAUACCGGUGGCGAAGGCGGCCCCCUGGACGAAGACUGACGCUCAGGUGCGAAAGCGUGGGGAGCAAACAGGAUUAGAUACCCUGGUAGUCCACGCCGUAAACGAUGUCGACUUGGAGGUUGUGCCCUUGAGGCGUGGCUUCCGGAGCUAACGCGUUAAGUCGACCGCCUGGGGAGUACGGCCGCAAGGUUAAAACUCAAAUGAAUUGACGGGGGCCCGCACAAGCGGUGGAGCAUGUGGUUUAAUUCGACGCAACGCGAAGAACCUUACCUGGUCUUGACAUCCACGGAAGUUUUCAGAGAUGAGAAUGUGCCUUCGGGAACCGUGAGACAGGUGCUGCAUGGCUGUCGUCAGCUCGUGUUGUGAAAUGUUGGGUUAAGUCCCGCAACGAGCGCAACCCUUAUCCUUUGUUGCCAGCGGUCCGGCCGGGAACUCAAAGGAGACUGCCAGUGAUAAACUGGAGGAAGGUGGGGAUGACGUCAAGUCAUCAUGGCCCUUACGACCAGGGCUACACACGUGCUACAAUGGCGCAUACAAAGAGAAGCGACCUCGCGAGAGCAAGCGGACCUCAUAAAGUGCGUCGUAGUCCGGAUUGGAGUCUGCAACUCGACUCCAUGAAGUCGGAAUCGCUAGUAAUCGUGGAUCAGAAUGCCACGGUGAAUACGUUCCCGGGCCUUGUACACACCGCCCGUCACACCAUGGGAGUGGGUUGCAAAAGAAGUAGGUAGCUUAACCUUCGGGAGGGCGCUUACCACUUUGUGAUUCAUGACUGGGGUGAAGUCGGAACAAGGUA